Molecule: ribosomal RNA, 468 nt
Filed under: uncultured bacterium
Lineage: Bacteria
Description: partial 16S ribosomal RNA
Rfam family: Bacterial small subunit ribosomal RNA
Source: RNAcentral
UCCUCCCUCUUUCUUCGUGCUUAACACAUGCAAGUCGAACGGAAAGGCCCUGCUUUUGUGGGGUGCUCGAGUGGCGAACGGGUGAGUAACACGUGAGUAACCUGCCCCUGACUUUGGGAUAACUUCAGGAAACUGGGGCUAAUACCGGAUAGGAGCUCCUGCUGCAUGGUGGGGGUUGGAAAGUUUCGGCGGUUGGGGAUGGACUCGCGGCUUAUCAGCUUGUUGGUGGGGUAGUGGCUUACCAAGGCUUUGACGGGUAGCCGGCCUGAGAGGGUGACCGGCCACAUUGGGACUGAGAUACGGCCCAGACUCCUACGGGAGGCAGCAGUGGGGAAUAUUGCACAAUGGGCGGAAGCCUGAUGCAGCAACGCCGCGUGCGGGAUGACGGCCUUCGGGUUGUAAACCGCUUUCGCCUGUGACGAAGCGUGAGUGACGGUAAUGGGUAAAGAAGCACCGGCUAACUACGUG